This 253-nucleotide ribosomal RNA is filed under the name uncultured bacterium. RNAcentral's name for it is "partial 16S ribosomal RNA". It matches the Rfam family "Bacterial small subunit ribosomal RNA", at positions 524 to 776 of the family's 1533-position model. The record is from RNAcentral.
UACGUAGGGACCGAGCGUUGUCCGGAAUCAUUGGGCGUAAAGAGCGUGUAGGCGGCCACUUAAGUCCUGCGUGAAAUCUUGCGGCUCAACCGCAAGCGGUCGUGGGAAACUGGGUGGCUAGAGUGCGGGAGAGGAGAGUGGAAUUCCUGGUGUAGCGGUGGAAUGCGCAGAUAUCAGGAGGAACACCGAUGGCGAAGGCAGGUCUCUGGGCCACUACUGACGCUGAGAAGCGAAAGCAUGGGGAGCGAACAGG